AAACUGAGAUAAGUAGCGUGAAUUGCAGACGCUUAAACUUUCGAACGAACAUUGCGCCGUAGGAGUCCUACCUUGCGGCACAUCUGGUUGAGGGUCAUGAUCAAAAACAAAAAACGGACUAUGACUGUAAUAGAAAUAGCUAGUGAAUCACGAGUUCCGUCUACCGCCUCUGGCUGAAAGUGUUUUGCCAUAAUGCUAGCAGAGGACAAUCGCUCGCACGAGAGAUUGCCUACCACACGGAUGAUCUAUUAGCUGAAGCAAUAGGUCUCGGUCACCGGGUAUCAUGCUUAUAUACUCUGAGAUACAGCUAGUGGGCUUCAUAAGUGCCUGGUAUCGAGAGUAUUCGCUCUCCCGACCUCAACUCAGGUGUGAUUACCAUCUGAACUUAA
RNAcentral lists this unclassified non-coding RNA (389 nucleotides) under uncultured fungus. RNAcentral describes it as "sequence contains ITS1". The record is from RNAcentral. Lineage: Eukaryota; Fungi.